GCGCAGCAGUCGAGAAAGCGCGACAGGGUUACCCCGAGUGUCGUCCGCUGAGGACGACUUUUCCCCAGUGUAGAUAGCUGGGGGAAUAAGGAGAGGGCAAGUCUGGUGUCAGCCGCCGCGGUAACACCAGCUCUCCGAGUGGUGGGGACGCUUAUUGGGCCUAAAAGCAUCCGUAGCCGGUCUAACAAGUCCCUUGUUAAAAUCCAGCGAUUC
This 213-nucleotide ribosomal RNA is filed under the name uncultured microorganism. Its description in RNAcentral is "partial 16S ribosomal RNA". It matches the Rfam family "Archaeal small subunit ribosomal RNA", at positions 330 to 561 of the family's 1478-position model. The record is from RNAcentral.